This 379-nucleotide ribosomal RNA is filed under the name uncultured bacterium. RNAcentral's name for it is "bacterial SSU rRNA". It matches the Rfam family "Bacterial small subunit ribosomal RNA", at positions 362 to 758 of the family's 1533-position model. The record is from RNAcentral.
UAUUGGACAAUGGGCGAAAGCCUGAUCCAGCAAUGCCGCGUGAGUGAUGAAGGCCUUAGGGUUGUAAAGCUCUUUUACCCGGGAUGAUAAUGACAGUACCGGGAGAAUAAGCUCCGGCUAACUCCGCGCCAGCAGCCGCGGUAAUACGGAGGGAGCUAGCGUUGUUCGGAAUUACUGGGCGUAAAGCGCACGUAGGCGGCUUUGUAAGUUAGAGGUGAAAGCCUGGAGCUCAACUCCAGAAUUGCCUUUGAUACUGCAUCGCUUGAAUCCAGGAGAGGUGAGUGGAAUUCCGAGUGUAGAGGUGAAAUUCGUAGAUAUUCGGAAGAACACCAGUGGCGAAGGCGGCUCACUGGACUGGUAUUGACGCUGAGGUGCGAAA